UACGUAGGGUGCAAGCGUUGUCCGGAAUUAUUGGGCGUAAAGAGCUCGUAGGCGGCUUGUCACGUCGGGUGUGAAAGCCCGGGGCUUAACCCCGGGUCUGCAUUCGAUACGGGCUAGCUAGAGUGUGGUAGGGGAGAUCGGAAUUCCUGGUGUAGCGGUGAAAUGCGCAGAUAUCAGGAGGAACACCGGUGGCGAAGGCGGAUCUCUGGGCCAUUACUGACGCUGAGGUGCGAAAGCGUGGGGAGCAAACAGG
Molecule: ribosomal RNA, 253 nt
Filed under: uncultured bacterium
Lineage: Bacteria
Description: partial 16S ribosomal RNA
Rfam family: Bacterial small subunit ribosomal RNA
Source: RNAcentral